GUGCGCUCAGCGGCCCCGCGGAUCUGUGUCUUGCUUCAACAGUGCUUAGACGGAACAGACCCAGGGACGCCCCUUGCUCCAGCCUCCGACCACCCUCCAACCUUUUUUCCAGUCGCAACCUCCGGAGUCAGCCACUCAGCUGUCCGCGAUCACCGAGACCAGCCACCAUUUUUUAACUCCUUAUUACCGACCAAUCAUGAGCUCCCAGAUUCGUCAGAAUUAUUCUACCGAGGUGGAGGCUGCUGUCAACCGCCUGGUUAACAUGCAACUGCGGGCCUCCUACACCUACCUCUCUCUGGGCUUCUAUUUCGACCGCGACAAUGUGGCUCUGGAGAGUGUGGGUCACUUUUUUCGCGAAUUGGCCAAGGAGAAGUGUGAGGGCACGGAGCGGCUCUUGAAACUGCAAAACCAGCAUGGCGGCCGCGCCCUCUUCCUGGACGUGCAGAAGCCAUCUCAAGAUGAGUGGGGUAAAACCCAGGACGCUAUGGAAGCCGUCCUUCUCGUAGAGAAGAACCUGAAUCAAGCCCUGUUGGAUCUGCAUGGCCUGGCUUCUGCCUGCGGAGACCCCCACGUCUGUUAUUUCCUGGAGAACCACUUCCUAGAUGAGGAAGUGAAACUCAUCAAGAAGAUGGGUGACCACCUGACCAACCUCCGCAGGCUGGCUGGUCCCCACGCUGGGUUGGUCGAGUAUCUCUUCGAGAGGCUCACCCUCAAGCACGACUAGGAGCUUCUGGAGACCAGUGGCCUUUGAGGAACCCACCUGACAUCAGGGCUGCCUGAAGCCCCUCUCUGCAGCUACUAGGCAGCUUUUUAACAUCUUGGAGGCCUCUCUCAAGCCUUGGACCAAAUGGAAACAAUAAAGCUUUUUGCAGCAAUAAAA
This is a non-coding RNA of Odocoileus virginianus texanus, 880 nucleotides long. NCBI's taxonomy places the organism in Eukaryota, Metazoa, Chordata, Mammalia, Artiodactyla, Cervidae. The record is from RefSeq and is a predicted model, not a curated record.